This 723-nucleotide small RNA is filed under the name Pongo abelii (Sumatran orangutan). RNAcentral describes it as "retained intron". The record is from RNAcentral. Lineage: Eukaryota; Metazoa; Chordata; Mammalia; Primates; Hominidae.
CUCUUUUCCUCCUUGGCUGUCUGAAGAUAGAUCGCCAUCAUGAACGACACCGUAACUAUCCGCACUAGAAAGUUCAUGACCAACCGACUACUUCAGAGGAAACAAAUGGUCAUUGAUGUCCUUCACCCCGGGAAGGCAACAGUGCCUAAGACAGAAAUUCGGGAAAAACUAGCCAAAAUGUACAAGACCACACCGGAUGUCAUCUUUGUAUUUGGAUUCAGAACUCAUUUUGGUGGUGGCAAGACAACUGGCUUUGGCAUGAUUUAUGAUUCCCUGGAUUAUGCAAAGAAAAAUGAACCCAAACAUAGACUUGCAAGACAUGGCCUGUAUGAGAAGAAAAAGACCUCAAGAAAGCAACGAAAGGAACGCAAGAACAGAAUGAAGAAAGUCAGGGGGACUGCAAAGGCCAAUGUUGGUGCUGGCAAAAAGGUAUAGUUCAUCAAGGAAAAUAUAGAAACGUCAUUAAUUGUAGGUCUUUAGUUUCUAGGAAAGAAGGGAUCUUAUUUAUUUUUAAAAUAACUUGUCUUAAUGUUUCUUCUUUUCCCUCUUCUUCUGGAUUACAGAAGGUAACAUGUUUUAAGAAACUAUGUAGCAUAGUGUCUUAACACCUUAGUAGAGUAGCUUGGCCCACCCCUUGUCAGCUCACAGCACAAUCUGGAGGCCACAUUGGUUCAUUGAUCCUGGUGGGCACCUUUCAAGCCUAUCACAAGAAGUUUUAAUUUU